RNAcentral lists this unclassified non-coding RNA (282 nucleotides) under Staphylococcus saprophyticus. RNAcentral's name for it is "16S-23S ribosomal RNA intergenic spacer". The record is from RNAcentral. Lineage: Bacteria; Bacillati; Bacillota; Bacilli; Caryophanales; Staphylococcaceae.
AAGGAUAUAUUCGGAAYAUCUUCUUACGAAGAUGYAGGAAUAACAUUGACAUAUUGUAUUCAGUUUUGAAUGCUCAUUGGAGUAUUCAUUGCAUAAUUUUGUACAUUGAAAACUAGAUAAGUAAGUAAAAUUUAUGAUUUUACCAAGCAAAACCGAGUGAAUUAGAGUUUUUUAACAAGCUUUGAAUUCAAAAAGAAAUAAUCGCUAGUGUUCGAAAGAACACUCACAGAUUAAUAACAUUUUGGGUUUUCAACCGACUUGUUCGUGUUGAAAGUCAAAAAA